CAACGGGGCCAUUGAUAGCGAGCGAGCGAGCGAGCGCUGCGCCGGCCGCGUGCUUCUCGCCUCGCGCGUCAACGUUCGCGAUCCCCCCGUUCCCGAGACAAUUGUAUCUCGUUUCCGCGUCGCCGAUAUGAUCUCUUAAUUGAUCUAUCAACGCGUAGUGUGGUCUGUCUGUGACGUGUCCAGCUAUUAAUUACGUAUGCGGUGAAAUUUUAGGAAUUUUAAUUUCUAAUAUUUUUGAUUAUCGCGAUCUUUCCAUUAAAUCGUUUCGAUAAAAACAGGUCGAUGUUAAACGUGCAUGACAAUAAUUUUUCUGCGAGAAAUGUGUUGUGUCUUAUAUUGUAUUUAAAGGAAUCAAGUCGAUUAUGCAAAACAUGAGUGCCGAUUACAAGAACAAGAUUUACACCUGAAUCGAAUAUCUAUUGGAGGAAUUUCAUGGAAACUGGAUGAUUUGACAGACGCUAAAAGAUGAGAAAGAAACUUCAAGCAUAUCGUUUAAUCCGGACGACUUUCGAUCUUGAAUAAGAGAGGAUGGGAAGAAGAAGGCAGCCGCAGGAAACGAGCAGCGAUAGCAACAGCAUCCGAUCGUAUUCCAGUUGCGCGUGUAUGCCGGUCGAUGUGAGAGAAACGUCAAAAGCCGCCCUAUCAAAAGGUGGAAGGUGGAAGGUGACGGCAGGGAAGAUACAGAAAGAGGAAGAGGGAGAGAGAGUAGGAAGAAACAACGAAGAAAUUCUAACAUGGACGCGCUAUUUACUUUUUAAAGUUCGCAGGUGUUCACGUCAUUCACGGCCCUUGUCGCCGAUUGUUUUCUUCUUCCUGCAACCAGUGACGAAGCAAUAGCCCCCGGUCGUUCUCUUAUUCCGCGAUUUGUACAUGGAGAAAGAGAAAUAGAGAACACGUUGUUCACGUUACUGCGAUAGACCUGGGAUAGAUCAUGUGGAUUAAAGGACAAUCCGCGGUGGAAGAGAAAAGAGUGGAGUGAAAGAAGAGGAGAAAGAUAGACGAGAGAAGAAGUCGGGACAAGCGAGCUGCCGAGAGGAAGAGAAAGAAUAAAACAGAGAUAGGGAUAAGUCUUUUAACGCAGAAGAGAAGAAGAAGAGAUUCUAU
Molecule: long non-coding RNA, 1104 nt
Organism: Formica exsecta
Lineage: Eukaryota; Metazoa; Arthropoda; Insecta; Hymenoptera; Formicidae
Exons: 3
Source: RefSeq, a predicted model, not a curated record